This 85-nucleotide non-coding RNA is filed under the name unclassified sequences. Its description in RNAcentral is "c-di-GMP sequence". It matches the Rfam family "c-di-GMP-II-GAG riboswitch aptamer". The record is from Rfam by way of RNAcentral.
ACGCACUCGGGAGGCUCUGACACGCAGCCCAUGCCCACGGCCGCCGGGACCGCGCCGAGCCACUGGCGAGACCGACCCGUCGCCA